GGGUCGAUAGCUCAGUUGGUAGUUUAGCGCCGGCGUGAAUUUCCGGAGGUCGUAAGUUCAAUUCUUACUCGGCCCA
RNAcentral lists this transfer RNA (76 nucleotides) under Candidatus Pacearchaeota archaeon. RNAcentral describes it as "tRNA-Phe". It matches the Rfam family "tRNA". From Rfam's summary of the family: Transfer RNA (tRNA) molecules are approximately 80 nucleotides in length. Their secondary structure includes four short double-helical elements and three loops (D, anti-codon, and T loops). The record is from RNAcentral. Lineage: Archaea; Nanobdellati.